This 861-nucleotide ribosomal RNA is filed under the name Pimoa sp. TAB-2009. RNAcentral describes it as "eukaryotic LSU rRNA". The stretch from base 445 to 861 matches the Rfam family "Eukaryotic large subunit ribosomal RNA", at positions 1 to 944 of the family's 3401-position model. Lineage: Eukaryota; Metazoa; Arthropoda; Arachnida; Araneae; Pimoidae. The record is from RNAcentral.
UCCUGUGGCGGGUAGGGAUUCAGUUGGGAGGUGCUCUGCAGCGGGGUUAUUCUUGAACCCCCUCCUAGCUUAAUUGCCGGGGGGUGUGGGGCUCGAUGUACCUUUGUGAAGGAGUGCCACCCGACGCAUUUCCCUCGUCCCGUCCGAAGGACGCCGCGACCGGUUGGUGUGUGACGGUCUGGAGGACCCGCUGGCUGGUGGUAUCGGCGGGGGACCCCUCUCGGGGGGUCCUCUUUUCCCCUUCGAGCCCCGGCGGUCUUCGGUCCUGUCGCCCGACCGUGGUGACACGAGACCUGUGUGGGUCUCACCGCCUCCUCCGGCAACGGCCUUCGGGCGCGUGUGCGUGUGGCGCGGGUCUUUGGAGACGCGGUCCGUUUUCUCGAACCGGUGGUCUGGCGCAGGGGUCGCUACCCGGUGGCCAGUUCCGCCGCUAGGGAUCGGUCGCGUCCUUUUAUGUAUUUGUGGAAGCCCGCCGGAGAUGCUGGCGGUCUGCGGCGAGUAGGUCGGUCACCCACCCGACCCGUCUUGAAACACGGACCAAGGAGUCUAACAUGUAUGCGAGUCAAUGGGACUCGACUAAGCCCACAGGCGCAAUGAAAGCAAUUUUUGGUUGGGAUCCCUGCCCCGAAUAGAUGGGCGGGGCGCACCAACGACCCGCCCUACCCAAGGGACCCCCAAUGAAUGUAUUGGCAAGGGGGUCUCUGGGCGGAGUCUGAGCAUACACGUUGGUACCCGAAAGAUGGUGAACUAUGCCCGGGCAGGACGAAGUCAGAGGAAACUCUGGUGGAGGUCCGUCACGGUUCUGACGUGCAAAUCGAUCGUCUGAUCCGGGCCUAGGGGCGAAAGACUAAUCGAACCAUC